AACUAAUCAUCGCUGAAUUCCCUAAGGGGAAGCGGGGGAACCCACUUCGGCCCACGCCGAUGGGGUGAAUCGCGGACGGCCGUUUAAGGUCAAGACGCGUAGGGCGACUCUCACGCCCGAAUCCGGCAGCUAACCUCGCAAGCGUAUUCGAGAGAGGCC
This 159-nucleotide small RNA is filed under the name Paenibacillus swuensis. Its description in RNAcentral is "c-di-AMP sequence". It matches the Rfam family "c-di-AMP riboswitch aptamer (ydaO/yuaA leader)". From Rfam's summary of the family: This family represents a conserved RNA structure found upstream of the ydaO and yuaA genes in Bacillus subtilis and related genes in other bacteria. The ydaO/yuaA element is thought to act as a genetic "off" switch for the ydaO and yuaA genes in its native state. Lineage: Bacteria; Bacillati; Bacillota; Bacilli; Caryophanales; Paenibacillaceae. The record is from Rfam by way of RNAcentral.